AACGAACGCUGGCGGCAGGCUUAACACAUGCAAGUCGAACGCCCCGCAAGGGGAGUGGCAGACGGGUGAGUAACGCGUGGGAAUCUACCGUGCCCUGCGGAAUAGCUCCGGGAAACUGGAAUUAAUACCGCAUACGCCCUACGGGGGAAAGAUUUAUCGGGGUAUGAUGAGCCCGCGUUGGAUUAGCUAGUUGGUGGGGUAAAGGCCUACCAAGGCGGCGAUCCAUAGCUGGUCUGAGAGGAUGAUCAGCCACAUUGGGACUGAGACACGGCCCAAACUCCCACGGGAGGCAGCAGUGGGGAAUAUUGGACAAUGGGCGCAAGCCUGAUCCAGCCAUGCCGCGUGAGUGAUGAAGGCCUUAGGGUUGUAAAGCUCUUUCACCGAUGAAGAUAAUGACGGUAGUCGGAGAAGAAGCCCCGGCUAACUUCGUGCCAGCCGCCGCCGUAA
RNAcentral lists this ribosomal RNA (447 nucleotides) under uncultured bacterium. RNAcentral describes it as "partial 16S ribosomal RNA". It matches the Rfam family "Bacterial small subunit ribosomal RNA", at positions 29 to 523 of the family's 1533-position model. The record is from RNAcentral.